Molecule: unclassified non-coding RNA, 237 nt
Filed under: Hevea brasiliensis (rubber tree)
Lineage: Eukaryota; Viridiplantae; Streptophyta; Magnoliopsida; Malpighiales; Euphorbiaceae
Source: RNAcentral
GCACUAUCCAACUGAGGAGGAGAUGAAUAAUAUUACAGCAAGUGAAGUGGCAGGACUUGGAGUGGGGACUUUUCUCCUAUGUUGCACCAUUUCUGCCCCCAAGAUUGAUUNCCAAAGAUUGAUUCUUUCAUCUCUAAUUCACAGAGAAGCUCUCUAGGGAUGUGCAAGACAUGCGGGGAUCUAAGGAUGAUAGCUUGCUCAAAAUGCAAAGGAAUUGGAUCGGUCAAGGAAGGUGGU